RNAcentral lists this ribosomal RNA (883 nucleotides) under uncultured Thermoplasmatales archaeon. RNAcentral describes it as "bacterial SSU rRNA". It matches the Rfam family "Archaeal small subunit ribosomal RNA", at positions 561 to 1448 of the family's 1478-position model. Lineage: Archaea; Methanobacteriati; Thermoplasmatota; Thermoplasmata; Thermoplasmatales. The record is from RNAcentral.
AACUAUACGAAUACCGAGUAGACUGCUAGACUUGGGACCGGGAGAGGCUAGAGGUACUCCGGGGGUAGAGGUGAAAUUCUGUAAUCCUCGGGGGACCACCAGUGGCGAAGGCGUCUAGCUAGAACGGGUCUGACGGUGAGGGACGAAGCCCUGGGGCGCAAACCGGAUUAGAUACCCGGGUAGUCCAGGGUGUAAACGCUGCUUGCUUGAUGUUAGUUGGGCUCCGAGCCCAACUAGUGUCGGAGAGAAGUUGUUAAGCAAGCUGCCUGGGAAGUACGGUCGCAAGACUGAAACUUAAAGGAAUUGGCGGGGGAGCACAGCAACAGGUGGAGCGUGCGGUUUAAUUGGAUUCAACGCCGGAAAUCUCACCGGAGGCGACGGUUAUAUGAAGGCCAGGCUGAUGACCUUGCCUGAUUUUCCGAGAAGUGGUGCAUGGCCGUCGUCAGUUCGUACCGUGAGGCGUUCUGUUAAGUCAGACAACGAACGAGACCCUCAUCUUUAGUUGCAACUGAUAAGUCCGCUUAUGAGGCACACUAAAGAAACCGCUGGCGAUAAGUCAGAGGAAGGUGAGGGCAACGGUAGGUCAGUAUGCCCCGAAUCCUCCGGGCUACACGCGCGCUACAAAGGCUAGGACAAUGGGUUCCUACACCGAAAGGUGACGGUAAUCUCGAAACCUAGUCGUAGUUCGGAUUGAGGAUUGAAACUCAUCCUCAUGAAGCUGGAAUCCGUAGUAAUCGCGGGUCAACAUCCCGCGGUGAAUAUGCCCCUGCUCCUUGCACACACCGCCCGUCAAACCAUGCGAGUUGGGUCUGAGUGAGGAUGUAGUCUUUGCUACGUUCAAACUUAGGCUUAGUAAGCGGGGUUAAGUCGUAACAAGGUAACC